Molecule: ribosomal RNA, 496 nt
Filed under: uncultured bacterium
Lineage: Bacteria
Description: partial 16S ribosomal RNA
Rfam family: Bacterial small subunit ribosomal RNA
Source: RNAcentral
GAUGAACGCUGGCGGCGUACCUAAUACAUGCAAGUCGAGCGAACAGACGAGGAGCUUGCUCCUCUGACGUUAGCGGCGGACGGGUGAGUAACACGUGGAUAACCUACCUAUAAGACUGGGAUAACUUCGGGAAACCGGAGCUAAUACCGGAUAAUAUAUUGAACCGCAUGGUUCAAUAGUGAAAGACGGUUUUGCUGUCACUUAUAGAUGGAUCCGCGCCGCAUUAGCUAGUUGGUAAGGUAACGGCUUACCAAGGCGACGAUGCGUAGCCGACCUGAGAGGGUGAUCGGCCACACUGGAGCUGAGACACGGUCCAGACUCCUACGGGAGGCAGCAGUAGGGAAUCUUCCGCAAUGGGCGAAAGCCUGACGGAGCAACGCCGCGUGAGUGAUGAAGGUCUUCGGAUCGUAAAACUCUGUUAUUAGGGAAGAACAAAUGUGUAAGUAACUAUGCACGUCUUGACGGUACCUAAUCAGAAAGCCACGGCUAACUACGU